AGAGAAGCUGAACAAGAAGGAGG
RNAcentral lists this non-coding RNA (23 nucleotides) under Cricetulus griseus (Chinese hamster). The record is from RNAcentral. Lineage: Eukaryota; Metazoa; Chordata; Mammalia; Rodentia; Cricetidae.